ACACACACACACAUCUUCAGCCGCUUAACAGGUCUGCGGGACCCCUGAAACAAUACCAGAAUAGCUCAGAAGCUACUGGCAGUAAAUUUGACAAACGUCACAUGACAAAUGUCACGUGCGAGGUCAGAAGUUAAGAAAUUUUGCUGUCAGUACUACUGUUUUACUAUUGGGGGUAUCCUUUUUAA
Long non-coding RNA from Thalassophryne amazonica, 185 nucleotides. RefSeq lists it as uncharacterized. The record is from RefSeq and is a predicted model, not a curated record. The transcript is spliced from 3 exons. NCBI's taxonomy places the organism in Eukaryota, Metazoa, Chordata, Actinopteri, Batrachoidiformes, Batrachoididae.